GACGAACGCUGGCGGCGUGCUUAACACAUGCAAGUCGAACGGUAAGGCCCUUCGGGGUACACGAGUGGCGAACGGGUGAGUAACACGUGGGUGAUCUGCCCUGCACUUCGGGAUAAGCCUGGGAAACUGGGUCUAAUACCGGAUAGGACUCCUGGCUUCAUGGUUGGGGGUGGAAAGCUUUUGCGGUGUGGGAUGGGCCCGCGGCCCAUCAGCUUGUUGGUGGGGUAAUGGCCUACCAAGGCGACGACGGGUAGCCGGGCUGAGAGGGUGACCGGUCACACUGGGACUGAGAUACGGCCCAGACUCCUACGGGAGGCAGCAGUGGGGAAUAUUGCACAAUGGGCGCAAGCCUGAUGCAGCGACGCCGCGUGAGGGAUGACGGCCUUCGGGUUGUAAACCUCUUUCAGCUAUGACGAAGCGCAAGUGACGGUAGUAGCAGAAGAAGGACCGGCCAACUACGUGCCAGCCGCCGCAGUAA
This 478-nucleotide ribosomal RNA is filed under the name uncultured bacterium. Its description in RNAcentral is "partial 16S ribosomal RNA". It matches the Rfam family "Bacterial small subunit ribosomal RNA", at positions 28 to 523 of the family's 1533-position model. The record is from RNAcentral.